UCCGGCUUGUCGCCGGCGGUCCCUCUAGAGUGCCCAACUGAAUGAUGGCAACUAAAGGCGAGGGUUGCGCUCGUUGCGGGACUUAACCCAACAUCUCACGACACGAGCUGACGACAGCCAUGCAGCACCUGUCUCCGCGCCCCUUGCGGGGACGGUCCAUCUCUGGACUUAGCGCGGGAUGUCAAACCCUGGUAAGGUUCUGCGCGUUGCGUCGAAUUAAACCACAUGCUCCACCGCUUGUGCGGGCCCCCGUCAAUUCCUUUGAGUUUCAGUCUUGCGACCGUACUCCCCAGGCGGAGUGCUUAAUGUGUUGACUUCGGCACGGACGGGGUUGAUAUCCGCCCACACCUAGCACCCAACGUUUACGGCUAGGACUAC
RNAcentral lists this unclassified non-coding RNA (378 nucleotides) under uncultured bacterium. RNAcentral's name for it is "contains 16S-23S intergenic spacer region". The record is from RNAcentral.